AUGUCUGCAUCAAAAGCAUGACCUUCCAUCUGAAAAUGGGUAGCUCCUUGAAUAAGAUGAGUUGUGUUAUGUCCAGCAGCAUCCCUCAACUUGUUCUCCAAUUGUUUAACGCUAGUGAAACCAUCAUUAGUACCCAUGACAAAUAGUUUUGGCUUAGGUGAUUGUAAGAUAGAUUUUUGAUGCCUUCCAAAAAGAAUAGAAGCAGUGAAACCAAAAGGAUAUCCUACGCUCACAUACCCAACCACUUGCUCUACUUUAUCAACUGCAGAUCCUGCUAUCGCUGCUCCUGCAGAUGAACCAAUAAGGAUAAUUGUGUUUGUUGUGAAAUUGGUGUGAACCCAUUUGCAAACAGAGAUAACAUCGUUAAUUUCAGCAGAUCCAGUGAGAGAAGCACGGCCACUGGAUUUCCCAGCACCUCUAGUGUCAAAAGUAACAGCAAUCACACCUCGACUUGACAAUCCCUUAGCAAUGCCUCUCAUCAAUCCUUGACAUCCACCAAGCACAGAAUAAGGAUGCACUAAUACUGCAACAUAACUCGAAUUGUUCUCCGAUGUUGGCCGGUAAACACGGCAGUCCAAUAUUACACCGUCGCUGCUCUCAAUACUACAACUGCUUCUGCUAUAGGUACUA
This 630-nucleotide unclassified non-coding RNA is filed under the name Hevea brasiliensis (rubber tree). The record is from RNAcentral. Lineage: Eukaryota; Viridiplantae; Streptophyta; Magnoliopsida; Malpighiales; Euphorbiaceae.